RNAcentral lists this ribosomal RNA (424 nucleotides) under uncultured Megasphaera sp. RNAcentral's name for it is "bacterial SSU rRNA". It matches the Rfam family "Bacterial small subunit ribosomal RNA", at positions 338 to 759 of the family's 1533-position model. The record is from RNAcentral. Lineage: Bacteria; Bacillati; Bacillota; Negativicutes; Veillonellales; Veillonellaceae.
CCUACGGGAGGCAGCAGUGAGGAAUAUUGGUCAAUGGGCGAGAGCCUGAACCAGCCAAGUAGCGUGCAGGAUGACGGCCCUAUGGGUUGUAAACUGCUUUUGUAUGGGGAUAAAGUCAGUCACGUGUGAUUGUUUGCAGGUACCAUACGAAUAAGGACCGGCUAAUUCCGUGCCAGCAGCCGCGGUAAUACGGAAGGUCCGGGCGUUAUCCGGAUUUAUUGGGUUUAAAGGGAGCGUAGGCUGGAGAUUAAGUGUGUUGUGAAAUGUAGACGCUCAACGUCUGACUUGCAGCGCAUACUGGUUUCCUUGAGUACGCACAACGUUGGCGGAAUUCGUCGUGUAGCGGUGAAAUGCUUAGAUAUGACGAAGAACUCCGAUUGCGAAGGCAGCUGACGGGAGCGCAACUGACGCUGAAGCUCGAAGG